GGGGGCUAGUGGGAGCCUAAUUCUCACCCUUGACAUGGUAGGGGUCACAGGUUCGAACCCUGUACCGCCCACCA
RNAcentral lists this transfer RNA (74 nucleotides) under Pseudoxanthomonas helianthi. Its description in RNAcentral is "tRNA-Ser". The record is from RNAcentral. Lineage: Bacteria; Pseudomonadati; Pseudomonadota; Gammaproteobacteria; Lysobacterales; Lysobacteraceae.